RNAcentral lists this ribosomal RNA (250 nucleotides) under uncultured Actinomycetales bacterium. Its description in RNAcentral is "partial 16S ribosomal RNA". It matches the Rfam family "Bacterial small subunit ribosomal RNA", at positions 83 to 334 of the family's 1533-position model. Lineage: Bacteria; Bacillati; Actinomycetota; Actinomycetes; Actinomycetales. The record is from RNAcentral.
UGGGGUGCUCGAGUGGCGAACGGGUGAGUAACGCGUGAGUAACCUGCCCUUGACUUUGGGAUAACUUCAGGAAACUGGGGCUAAUACCGGAUAGGAGCUCCUGCUGCAUGGUGGGGGUUUGAAAGUUUCGGCGGUUGGGGAUGGACUCGCGGCUUAUCAGCUUGUUGGUGGGGUAGUGGCUUACCAAGGCUUUGACGGGUAGCCGGCCUGAGAGGGUGACCGGCCACAUUGGGACUGAGAUACGGCCCAG